GAUGAACGCUGGCGGCGUGCCUAAUACAUGCAAGUCGAGCGAACGGACGAGAAGCUUGCUUUUCUGAUGUUAGCGGCGGACGGGUGAGUAACACGUGGAUAACCUACCUAUAAGACUGGGAUAACUUCGGGAAACCGGAGCUAAUACCGGAUAAUAUUUUGAACCGCAUGGUUCAAAAGUGAAAGACGGUCUUGCUGUCACUUAUAGAUGGAUCCGCGCUGCACUAGCUAGUUGGUAAGGUAACGGCUUACCAAGGCAACGAUGCAUAGCCGACCUGAGAGGGUGAUCGGCCACACUGGAACUGCGACACGGUCCAGACUCCUACGGGAGGCAGCAGUAGGGAAUCUUCCGCAAUGGGCGAAAGCCUGACGGAGCAACGCCGCGUGAGUGAUGAAGGUCUUCGGAUCGUAAAACUCUGUUAUUAGGGAAGAACAUAUGUGUAAGUAACUGUGCACAUCUUGACGGUACCUAAUCAGAAAGCCACGGCUAACUACGUG
This 497-nucleotide ribosomal RNA is filed under the name uncultured bacterium. RNAcentral's name for it is "partial 16S ribosomal RNA". It matches the Rfam family "Bacterial small subunit ribosomal RNA", at positions 28 to 507 of the family's 1533-position model. The record is from RNAcentral.